CCUACGGGUGGCAGCAGUGAGGAAUAUUGGUCAAUGGGCGCGAGCCUGAACCAGCCAAGUAGCGUGAAGGAUGACUGCCCUACGGGUUGUAAACUGCUUUUGUACAAGGGUAAACCUGAAUACGUGUAUUCAGCUGAAAGUACUGUACGAAUAAGGAUCGGCUAACUCCGUGCCAGCAGCCGCGGUAAUACGGAGGAUCCAAGCGUUAUCCGGAUUUAUUGGGUUUAAAGGGUGCGUAGGCGGAUUGAUAAGUUAGAGGUGAAAUGUCCGAGCUUAACUCGGGAACUGCCUCUAAUACUGUUGAUCUAGAGAGUAGAUGCGGUAGGCGGAAUGUAUGGUGUAGCGGUGAAAUGCUUAGAGAUCAUACAGAACACCGAUUGCGAAGGCAGCUUACCAAUCUAUAUCUGACGUUGAGGCACGAAAGCGUGGGGAGCAAACAGGAUUAGAUACCCCAGUAGUC
RNAcentral lists this ribosomal RNA (460 nucleotides) under uncultured bacterium. Its description in RNAcentral is "partial 16S ribosomal RNA". It matches the Rfam family "Bacterial small subunit ribosomal RNA", at positions 338 to 795 of the family's 1533-position model. The record is from RNAcentral.